CUUAUCUUAGCGGCGGACGGGUGAGUAAUGCUUAGGAAUCUGCCAUUUAGUGGGGGACAACAUUCCGAAAGGAAUGCUAAUACCGCAUACGUCCUACGGGAGAAAGCAGGGGAUCUUCGGACCUUGCGCUAAAUGAUGAGCCUAAGUCGGAUUAGCUAGUUGGUGGGGUAAAGGCCUACCAAGGCGACGAUCUGUAGCGGGUCUGAGAGGAUGAUCCGCCACACUGGGACUGAGACACGGCCCAGACUCCUACGGGAGGCAGCAGUGGGGAAUAUUGGACAAUGGGCGGAAGCCUGAUCUAGCCAUGCCGCGUGUGUGAAGAAGGCCUUUUGGUUGUAAAGCACUUUAAGCGAGGAGGAGGCUACUAGUACUAAUACUACUGGAUAGUGGACGUUACUCGCAGAAUAAGCACCGGCUAACUCUGUGCCAGCAGCCGCGGUAAUACAGAGGGUGCGAGCGUUAAUCGGAUUUACUGGGCGUAAAGCGUGCGUAGGCGGCUUUUUAAGUCGGAUGUGAAAUCCCCGAGCUUAACUUGGGAAUUGCAUUCGAUACUGGGAAGCUAGAGUAUGGGAGAGGAUGGUAGAAUUCCAGGUGUAGCGGUGAAAUGCGUAGAGAUCUGG
RNAcentral lists this ribosomal RNA (620 nucleotides) under uncultured Acinetobacter sp. Its description in RNAcentral is "bacterial SSU rRNA". It matches the Rfam family "Bacterial small subunit ribosomal RNA", at positions 86 to 701 of the family's 1533-position model. The record is from RNAcentral. Lineage: Bacteria; Pseudomonadati; Pseudomonadota; Gammaproteobacteria; Moraxellales; Moraxellaceae.